AGACCAUGGCUCGGGCAUUUCCUUAUCAAGUCUGUGAAUCUCUUCCAAGCUUCUGCAAAGGACUCAUCAUACUUUUGUUGGAAAGAAGUGAUCUCUUCUCUCAAUUU
Molecule: small nucleolar RNA, 107 nt
Organism: Salvia splendens (bonfire salvia)
Lineage: Eukaryota; Viridiplantae; Streptophyta; Magnoliopsida; Lamiales; Lamiaceae
Source: RefSeq, a predicted model, not a curated record